Molecule: long non-coding RNA, 289 nt
Filed under: Zonotrichia albicollis (white-throated sparrow)
Lineage: Eukaryota; Metazoa; Chordata; Aves; Passeriformes; Passerellidae
Description: lncRNA (ENSZALG00000000479.1)
Source: RNAcentral
AAAGCCACGGGCUUUAUAUGUAUAUAAAUAAAAAAUAUAUCUUUUUUUAAUUACAGCUUUGGCAAUUCCCAGCCAGUAAAUAGCAGCUCGGAGCAUAGGCCCGCAGCUGCAGAGCCAGCAGCCAUGACCCGGUGAGACCACGGCGCUGGGUGCGGGCAGCCCGGCAGGGACCUCUAGGGAAGGGAAGUCCAGAGGAAAAAGGAUAUCAAAGUCCAGCUGUCCAGUGUCAUCACAUUCAGAUUCUGCCAUGACCUAAAUAAAAAGACUGCAGGUGGCUGCUCUCUCUCCA